CCUACGGGGAGCAGCAGUGGGGGAUAUUGCACAAUGGGGGGAACCCUGAUGCAGCGACGUCGCGUGUGGGAAGACGGUCCUCUGGAUUGUAAACCACUGUCCCCAGGGACGAAAAUGACGGUACCUGGGGAGGAAGCUCCGGCUAACUACGUGCCAGCAGCCGCGGUAAUACGUAGGGAGCGAGCGUUGUCCGGAAUUACUGGGUGUAAAGGGAGCGUAGGCGGGGAUGCAAGUUGGGUGUCAAAACUACCGGCUCAACUGGUAUUCGCACUCAAAACUGCAGCUCUUGAGUGAAGUAGAGCCGGGGGGAAUCCCAGGGGUAGCGGGGAAAGGGGU
RNAcentral lists this ribosomal RNA (336 nucleotides) under uncultured bacterium. RNAcentral describes it as "partial 16S ribosomal RNA". It matches the Rfam family "Bacterial small subunit ribosomal RNA", at positions 338 to 691 of the family's 1533-position model. The record is from RNAcentral.